AUGAAAAGGGAGGAGUGUAACAUCUCAGAUGAUCUUGUUAGUUUUGCUAGACUGUCACAAAGCUCAGUCCUGCUGCAGUGAACACACACAUGUACAAUGAUACUUCAUUCAGUCAUUCUGAUCUCUGCCUUGGCAUGUGUGAGUUUUGGAGAUGAAAUCACACCAGACAGCACUGAAGAGUCUGCUGCAGAGGGUUCAACUCUUACAUUAUCCUGCAGUUAUUCAUCUGCAUAUUCACUUCUCUGGUACCGUCAGUAUCCCGGAUCAGCUCCUGAAUUUCUUGUGCUUAUAAUGGAGGGUGUGAAAGACACUAAGGCAUCUAAGGUAGAUCCCAGAUUCUCUACUAAGAUCAGAAAAGAAAAACAAGCCACAAAAGAGAUCAGUUGUGUGGAUCUGAUCAUCUCCUCUGCUGCAGUAUCAGACUCUGCUCUGUAUUACUGUGCUCUGAGGCCCACAGUCACAGGAAACACAAGAUCACUGUACAAAAACCUGACACAGCUGAAAAGGCAGAACUAAAAUGAUGCCUUUCUAAACAGAUUGAAGCACAUA
Molecule: non-coding RNA, 549 nt
Organism: Megalobrama amblycephala (Wuchang bream)
Lineage: Eukaryota; Metazoa; Chordata; Actinopteri; Cypriniformes; Xenocyprididae
Source: the annotation of a RefSeq genome assembly